AGCCAUAUCAUGUUGAAAUACUGGUUCUCUUAUGAUCACUGAAAUUAAGCAAUGUUGAUCCUGGUCAGUACUUAGAUGGGUGACUGUUUGGGAAUACUAGAUGCUGCAAGC
Molecule: non-coding RNA, 111 nt
Organism: Acanthosepion pharaonis
Lineage: Eukaryota; Metazoa; Mollusca; Cephalopoda; Sepiida; Sepiidae
Source: the annotation of a GenBank genome assembly